Molecule: ribosomal RNA, 411 nt
Filed under: uncultured bacterium
Lineage: Bacteria
Description: bacterial SSU rRNA
Rfam family: Bacterial small subunit ribosomal RNA
Source: RNAcentral
GCACAAUGGGCGCAAGCCUGAUGCAGCAACGCCGUGUGAGUGAAGAAGGUUUUCGGAUCGUAAAACUCUGUCCUAAGGGAAGAAAAAAUGACGGUACCUUAGGAGGAAGCCCCGGCUAACUACGUGCCAGCAGCCGCGGUAAUACGUAGGGGGCAAGCGUUAUCCGGAAUCACUGGGCGUAAAGGGUGCGUAGGCGGCUUGACAAGCCAGGGGGUGAAAGGCAUUGGCUCAACCAAUGUAAGCCUUUGGAACUGUUAAGCUUGAGUGCAGGAGAGGUAAGUGGAAUUCCUAGUGUAGAGGUGAAAUUCGUAGAUAUUAGGAGGAACACCAGUGGCGAAGGCGACUUACUGGACUGUAACUGACGCUGAUGCACGAAAGCGUGGGUAGCGAACAGGAUUAGAUACCCUGUAG